ACACAUGCAAGUCGAACGGCAGCACAGGAGAGCUUGCUCUCUGGGUGGCGAGUGGCGGACGGGUGAGGAAUACAUCGGAAUCUACUCUGUCGUGGGGGAUAACGUAGGGAAACUUACGCUAAUACCGCAUACGACCUACGGGUGAAAGCAGGGGACCUUCGGGCCUUGCGCGAUUGAAUGAGCCGAUGUCGGAUUAGCUAGUUGGCGGGGUAAAGGCCCACCAAGGCGACGAUCCGUAGCUGGUCUGAGAGGAUGAUCAGCCACACUGGAACUGAGACACGGUCCAGACUCCUACGGGAGGCAGCAGUGGGGAAUAUUGGACAAUGGGCGCAAGCCUGAUCCAGCCAUACCGCGUGGGUGAAGAAGGCCUUCGGGUUGUAAAGCCCUUUUGUUGGGAAAGAAAUCCAGCUGGCUAAUACCCGGUUGGGAUGACGGUACCCAAAGAAUAAGCACCGGCUAACUUCGUGCCAGCAGCCGCGGUAAUACGAAGGGUGCAAGCGUUACUCGGAAUUACUGGGCGUAAAGCGUGCGUAGGUGGUCGUUUAAGUCCGUUGUGAAAGCCCUGGGCUCAACCUGGGAACUGCAGUGGAUACUGGGCGACUAGAAUGUGGUAGAGGGUAGCGGAAUUCCUGGUGUA
This 637-nucleotide ribosomal RNA is filed under the name Stenotrophomonas maltophilia. RNAcentral's name for it is "bacterial SSU rRNA". It matches the Rfam family "Bacterial small subunit ribosomal RNA", at positions 51 to 677 of the family's 1533-position model. The record is from RNAcentral. Lineage: Bacteria; Pseudomonadati; Pseudomonadota; Gammaproteobacteria; Lysobacterales; Lysobacteraceae.